GGCCAGCAUCAAUUCCGUAGUGCAUUGCAGUGUAGACCAUUGGACGUAACUGCAAGCAUUGUGGGAGUGAAGCCGUUCGA
This is a microRNA precursor of Anopheles darlingi, 80 nucleotides long. It matches the Rfam family "mir-932 microRNA precursor family". NCBI's taxonomy places the organism in Eukaryota, Metazoa, Arthropoda, Insecta, Diptera, Culicidae. The record is from Rfam.